Prionailurus viverrinus (fishing cat) is the source of this 604-nucleotide long non-coding RNA. RefSeq lists it as uncharacterized. The transcript is spliced from 3 exons. The record is from RefSeq and is a predicted model, not a curated record. Lineage: Eukaryota; Metazoa; Chordata; Mammalia; Carnivora; Felidae.
GGCCACCCACAUGUACUGAUGCCUUUCCUCACUCCUCCCUGUUGUCUGCUUCUCUCACCACUGGACUAGAGGAACAGGCAUACUCAGAGUUUCCCAUAAACACAGACUCUUAUGAACACCAAACAGAGAGAGACUAGGAGGGGAGGAAGCACACGAGCCAGGCUGCCGUGGGCUCAGCUCCUCGGGUGCCUCAGGUGUGUCCUCAUUGACCGCCUGCUCUGUCUGCUGCAAUUUACCAGCGGCAUCCAGGAAGCCGGACAGGGCAACUGGGACCCCUCUAAAUAGCAUGUAUCUGCUCUCAUUCCCUCGUGUUUUCCUACCCAGAUGAAAAACCACAAGUCACAACCGGCUCCCAAAGGAAAGACCUGUUAGCCUCCAGACAUGUGAGUGAAGCCAUCCUGAAUCAUUCAACUGCCAGCCGACUCACCAGCUGACCACAGAUGCACAAGAUCCUAGCAGAGCUCAGCCAAGCUGUCCCGGACCAGAACUGCCCAGCCAGCCCGCAGAACUGUGACCUAAAUAAAUGGUCGUUGUUUUAAGCCACUUUUGGAGAUGAUUUGUUACUUUGUUGAUCGUUGUUUUAAGCCACUUUUGGAGAUGAUUU